CAAUAGCGUAUAUUAAAGUUGUUGCAGUUAAAAAGCUCGUAGUUGGAUUUCUGGUUGAAGCGACCGGUCGGGCGUUGAUUCGUCUGCACUGGAGUCGGUUUUGGCCAUCCUCUAGGAAAGUGCGUCUGGUAUUAAGUUAUCGGGCGUAUGAUCCUGGUCUUUUACUGUGAAAAAAUUAGAGUGUUUAAAGCAGGCCUUCGCCUUGAAUACAUUAGCAUGGAAUAAUAAGAUAGGACUUUGGUCUAUUUUGUUGGUUUGCAGACCGAAGUAAUGAUUAAUAGGGACAGUUGGGGGUAUUUAUAUUCCGAUGUCAGAGGUGAAAUUCUUAGAUUUUCGGAAGAUAAACUUAUGCGAAAGCAUUUACCAAGGAUGUUUUCAUUAA
RNAcentral lists this ribosomal RNA (382 nucleotides) under uncultured eukaryote. Its description in RNAcentral is "partial 18S ribosomal RNA". It matches the Rfam family "Eukaryotic small subunit ribosomal RNA", at positions 592 to 976 of the family's 1831-position model. The record is from RNAcentral.